GUUUUAUUCAUGUAUAUAUUGUGAAAAGGUCACCACAAUAAGUUUAGUUAACAUCCAUCACCUCAAAUACUUACAAGUUUUUUCUUAUGAUGAGAGCUUGUGAGAUUUACUCCCUUAGAACUUUCCAGUAUAUAACACAUUUAUUGUUAACCAUAGUUUCCAUGCUGUAGAUAGAUCCUCAGAACUUAUCUUAUAAUGCGGGCUUCAUACCUUUUGGCCACCUUCACCCAUGUCCCCCACUCCUUACCCCUGCAUCUGGCAACCACCAAUCUGUUCUCUGUUUCUACAAGUUUUUUUUUUUUUUUUUUCAGAUUCUACAUGUAAGCGAGAUUAUGAGGUAUUUUUGCCUAACAUUUCAUUCCACCCAUGUUGUCUAAAAUGGCAGGAUUUUCUUCUUUUUUAUGGCUGAAUAAUAUUCCAUUGUGUAUAUAUACACCAUGUUUUCUUCAUCCAUUCAUUCAUUGACGGGAGCUUAGGUUGUUUCUAUAUCUUUACUAUUGUAAAUAAAUCUGCAAUGAACAUGGGAGUGGGCUUCUGUGAUGGUUCAGUGGUACAGAACCCACCUGUCAAUGCAGGAGACAGGGUUUUGAUCCCUGGGUUGGGCAGAUCCCCGGGAGUAGGAAAUGGCAACCCACUCCAGUAUUCUCGCCUGGGAAAAAUCCCAUGGACUGAGGAGCCUGGUGGGCUCCAGUCCAUUGGGUCAAGAGAUUUGGGCUUGUUGUUGUAAACAGCAACAACCACGGGAGUCCAAGUACCUCUUCAACACAGUGAUUUCAUAUCCUCUGGAUAUAUACCCUGUAGUGGAAUUGCUGGAUCUUGUGGUAGUUCUGUUAAGUUUUUGAGCAAUUCAUACUGUUUUGUAUAGUGGCUGCACUAAUUUAUCUUCCUACCAACAGUGCACAAGGGUUCCCUUUUCUCCACAUCCUCAGUAGCACUUGUUAUCUCUUAUCUUUUUGACAAUAGCCACUCUAACAGGUAUGAGGAGGUAUCUCACUGUUAGAACAGCUGUUUUCAUUUG
Long non-coding RNA from Bos taurus (domestic cattle), 1018 nucleotides. Lineage: Eukaryota; Metazoa; Chordata; Mammalia; Artiodactyla; Bovidae. The record is from Ensembl.